Long non-coding RNA from Beta vulgaris subsp. vulgaris (sugar beet), 4975 nucleotides. RefSeq lists it as uncharacterized. The transcript has 2 exons. Lineage: Eukaryota; Viridiplantae; Streptophyta; Magnoliopsida; Caryophyllales; Amaranthaceae. The record is from RefSeq and is a predicted model, not a curated record.
ACCAACAAAAAUCUAAAGUCAAGACUCCCUUCAAGACUUGCAAUUAACUUACCCUUAGCUUCUCUCACGUCUGAAUUUCAGCACAGAGGAGCCAAAUUUUCAACACAAAAUUUCAGCUUUGUCAGUAAGGAAUUGAAUUUCAGUCCACAAAUAUCAGAUUUUAGGGGUAAAUUUUCAAAGGCUAAACAUCAUAGCUCUCACACCUCACCUCCACCAUUAAUGGAGCCUGACAAAAGUUCAAAAUUUCUGACCUAACUCCUCUAUAAAUACUGACCUUCAUUCACCAAUAUGCUCAAGCAAACAAUCUAAAAAGGUUUGCUUCAAUUCUUCAUCUUCUUCCUUCAUUUCCGAUUUUGAUUUUGAAAAUUAAAAAUGAAAUUAAAAUCCACCAUUAACACAUUCUCCGAUUCUUUGGACCACCGCACUACCACUCGAGAAACCGCCUUGAACCACCAAGUCGCCACCCAACCACCACAGAACCGCCAACCACCGCAAGCCCUUCCUUCCCUUCGCGCAGCCCCUGCUGUCACCCUUACACUCGCGCCCAGCCACCACAAAAACCAUUAGCCUCCCUCACUCACCACCUAAACCCGACACUGCCUAACUCUCGCCUGAGCUUGGCCGUGUGCCGACCAAAAUCGAACCACUACAAAUUCCUUCGCUUCCCCUGUUUCGCUCUCUCUGUCGCUUCUCCUUUCGUUCCUCCUUGUGUCGUUUCUCAAUUUGAGAAACUGAUGUUUUAAAACAUCUUUUUUUUCCUUUUAAUUUAUUUGUGUUUUAAUUAGUUUUAUUUGUUUACUUUCAUUUUUAAAACUGAAACUCAUAACUUUCUUAAAUUAGCCUACUUUAUUAAGUUAGUAUGUUUUAGUUAACUUAGUAUUUUAUAACUUGAAACUGUUCCUUGAUUUUCUAAAAUAAAAUAAGGAGUAUAAUAAAGUUAGAUUUCUAUGUUCAAAUAUUUGUUUAAGUUAAUAAAAAUGAAGUUUAAGUAAUCUUUUAUUUCUUAAAAUGAUUUCAUUAUUGACUUGAAAACUAUAAACUUUGAUUUAUAAACUCUCUUAAAAUCAUCAAGAAUUUCUUUAAGUUAUUUGAAUUAUUUAAAUUAUGCAUACAUAAAAAGAGGUUAUUUAGGAACUAACUUAGAUCUCGUUAAUAUCUAUUGUAGACUCCAAUUUCGUAGACGAGGAAUAUCAAGAGUACUAAUCCGUUAGUGAACUUAAUUUUGGGCACACAUCACGAGGUGGGUGAUCGACGGGGGAACCAAAGGAAUAUCAUUUAGAGUUGUCAUCCACUUAGCAUAUGAUUAGCUUCGCUGGAACUCUAAAACACUUAAUUAAUUAAUAAUAUUUCAUGAACGAUUUACUUGGUUGUAAGAAUUAAUUAAUUUGAGUUUAGUAUGUUUUAAUUUAGCCUUGCAUUUAUUUCCAAGGAGAUAAGUGCGGCGGUAGCGCCACCCAUCGAAUCGAACCCUCGUGGAUAUUUCCCCCAAAUCUCGAGUUCUAUCAAAUAAAGAAGGGUUCGGGUCGGCUGGGGUGUUAUACUAGGGGGGUUUUUACUUUUAUGUAAUCCAUGUAGAAUAAAAAAUUUAGAAAUUGCAUAGUACAAGAUUUGAUCCAAUGACCUCAAGUUCAUAUACUAAAGUUUUAACCACUAGACCAAGUUGUAUUUAGUGUUAACAUUUUAAACUACAAUAUUAAUAAGAGAACUUUUUCCUUAUCCGAGGCAUAACCUAAACCUAACAACUAAUUAAUGUUUGAAAUGUUGCUAUCCAAAUAUAGGUUAGUAGGAGCUCACUCUUUCCCUUCUCUCACCUCCUUCCCUUCUCUCUUUUUCACUCCCUCCGUUUUCCCUCCAAAACUACUAUCCAAAUAAAAUCUCUCUGUAUUUGUUUGCUUUAAGGUGUUGAACUUGAUUGAUCAUUUGGUUGUUUAUAUUGUGUAUUAUUUGUCACUUCAAUCGGGUAAAGAUCAUAUAAAUCUGCGCUCUUGACCUAGUUCUAACUAAACCUAAUUUCGUUGAACAAGUUUGGGAGAACCACUAUCCUCAUGAAGUGGCUCCUUAUGUAUUGAUGAUGGACAAUUUGUCCCUUUAAUAUAUGAUAGCUUGCUUUUCCCCUCAAAAAAAAAAAAAAACACUAAACCUAACUUUGUUUAAUAUUAAAUAUGGAAACACGUGUUUUGUAGCUAUAAGGGAAAUAUUGUAGAAUAUGCUCUUUCGUGAUUGUCCUUCACAAUUCUCCCCUAAAAUAAAAAAAAAGGUUCACAACUCUCCCUUAAAAUAUUUGUUGGUGGCUCUCAUCCUUAUUUUGUCCAUAUCGCUAACCCUUUGAGUGUCAAGUCAAACCCCAUUCCUAUGCAAUCCCUAAUUUGUUCAAAACAUAAUGCUCACCCUUGUAUCUUGAUGUCUUCAUUUGGGAACUCAAAUAGAGUGCAUUCUUUAUAAGGAUGUAAUGUUUUCAAGGAUGGAUGUUUUAAAACGAAGAAUGGAAGGAGCUUAAAAAAAAAGGUCAAUUCUAUAAUUCAUUAUUAAUAACUAUUCCUUAAGCACAAGCUUUCACACCUUGCAUAGUUCCACAUUGUUAUAGUGAUGAAACCUAAACUUGCUAAACUCAACUCAAUAAACACAGGUUUAUUCAUCAUACAACCAGGUUUACCAUGUUUAUUGUACACCCAGAUUAAUUUUGCUCAUUUAUUCAUUUGAAACUCUCAUUUUUAUUAUAUUUUAGCCUGAUCCUCCUAAAUGUAUGAUAAAAUUUGUACAAUAAACACAAUCUAUGGUUGAGAUUAGCCCUUGAGGCUCUACUUUGUUGAGCCAUAAAGUUGAAGUGGUCAAUCUUAAUUUCAAAUUCACCAAACCAUGAAUCUGUCUCAUGCUCAAGGCAGGGGGCACUCAGGCAUAGAGUAAGUCCAACAUGCUCUUCGUUUUCUAAAAGUUAAGGCACGAGAGAAUACAUUGCCUUGUUCUUCUUGCCUUCUUGGACUUUUUGACCACCCUAAGCCAAAGCAAAUGUACACAGAUAUUGUGCUUGAUCUUCUAAAAGUUUUAGCUUUGGAACACUAGAAAAAUAAGGAUUUUCUUUUUAGAAGAUCUUGUCAUAUCAUGCAUACAUUACGGUGUCUACACUCAUGGUUACUUCAGUAAUUUUCACAUAAAAAAAAUUCCCAUAAAUUUAGGAAUUAAUUUGACAUUUUAUUUCAUUUAGGGAACAUGCCAUUUUAAAUUAUAGGAUCUAGAUUAAUUUCCCAUUUGAAUUUAGAAAUUACUAAAAAGUAUAGUAUCAUGGGAUUGUCCAUUUAGAAGGAAACAUCCUUUUUGUUUUAGGAUCCUCAUCCAUCAUCCAUCAUCCAUCAUCCAUCAUCCAUCAUCCAUCAUCCAAUCAGAAUUUUACUUUAAUCUUUUUAGUCUCAUGAGUUCUUUCGGUGCAUUCUCUUAGGUAGAUAGUUCAAACCUGAAAUCUUUUGCGCAACUUUUUCCACGUCAUUAUGUCCCAUAUAUGAAUUACUUUGCAUCAUCAACAGUCAAAACCAAGACUUAUUUGGUUCCACCGUCUUUUGGUAAAACCUGCACAAGUUCGAUCCCUCAAAUAAUAUCAUAUUUCUUUUAUUUUCAUAUACUCACGACGUUGAAAUGUGCACGAGUACCAAGAAAAAGAAAGGACAAAGAUAAAUAAAAACAAAGUCCUAUCUACUAAGAGAAAAAAAUAAAUACAUUACCAAAAAUGUCAACAUUACAAGUAACAAAAAGACGGAAGAAGUCAUUAGAUUAAAGGUCCAAAACAGAUCAUGCACGCAAGAUUUUAAAACUUGUGACUUUGUUCGCUCCACCUAAAAUAAGGUGGUUUAAUUUGAAUAUAUUAAGAUCUCAUUUUAUUUGAAUUAAAAUCUCGUUUGAUAUAGAUUCAUCUAUAAACUACUUGGGUACGCAAAACAAGGAACAAAAUAGUUCAUGUAGAUCGAUUGAAAUAUGUCAUUCACAAGAUCACCAAUUGAAAUGUAAGCAUGCGUAUAUGAUAUAUGAGACUAGCCCCUCGCGAUUAGGGUGUGAAGAAGAUGUUCCCCAGGUAUUGAUGUCCAAGUCAAGAGCCAAACUAGACAAGAGCACUGAAAUAGCACUACACUUAUUUUUGCAGGACUUUGGGCAAUCUGGAAAUCUAGGAUCAACAUCAUCUUCUUGAAUGACGAGGAUUUAAUUCCAUGUGCACUGUGCAACAAUGGAACUGAUCAUAGCUUGGCAAAGCAGAUGUGGGACUCCAACAAGAAAGAAGCAUUAACGUGAAUAAAAAUCGCACAAUGGUGAGGGCUUUGACACUCCCUGCAUAUAAUUUCAAUGUGGGCUCGAAAACUCGAGAUACCUCAGCCAUAUAGUGGAAGUAGAUGGAGCUUGGAAAAGGAACAAGAAGUCCAAGACAACAAGCAAAACAGGGAUGGGAUGGGAUGGCAUAUUGGCAUCUCAUCAACAUUUUUAACUCCCAAAUUAUCCGCUCCAUCAGUCAUACCACAUUUAAACUGCAAUCCAUAGCGCAGUAACAGGGAUCCUUAUAGGACUAGAGUGUGAAGAUGAACAGAACAUUAUUGACAUAGAACGAAGAAGCUUGACAGCUUCCCUUUACAGCUCGAUAAAAUCCCAAGAGAGUGUGAUUGACCUUUGAAUUUUCCAAACCAUCAGACCUUGCCCUUGGAUCUUCACUGAGAUUUAUGGCAAAAUAUAGCAACAUUGCGAUGUUCAAAUUAAUGAUCAUCUCCUAACGCGUAGUUAGUUAGUUCAGUUGUGUGGAUGGCAAAAGUGAGAAUAACAAGACAGGAUAGGACUGUCGAAUUAAACAAAAAAAACGACAGGAUGGGAAGGGAUAAAUUAUCGGGUCUGACCCUAUUACAUCUACAGAGUGUUGGGCCCAGUAAGUGUAAAUUCUUAUUGUAGAUAUGUAUGGGAUGUACCUGCAUACUAAUUACCAUUUGGAUGAAGAAAAAUUUCAGUA